RNAcentral lists this ribosomal RNA (311 nucleotides) under uncultured eukaryote. RNAcentral's name for it is "partial 18S ribosomal RNA". It matches the Rfam family "Eukaryotic small subunit ribosomal RNA", at positions 1470 to 1796 of the family's 1831-position model. The record is from RNAcentral.
CCCUUAGAUGUUCUGGGCCGCACGCGCGCUACACUGACGAAUUCAACGAGCUUAUAACCUUGGCCGAAAGGUCUAGGUAAUCUCCAAAAUUCGUCGUGAUGGGGAUAGAUUAUUGCAAUUAUUAAUCUUCAACGAGGAAUGCCUAGUAAGCGCAAGUCAUCAGCUUGCGUUGAUUACGUCCCUGCCCUUUGUACACACCGCCCGUCGCUCCUACCGAUUGGGUGAGCCGAUGAAACUCUCGGAUGUAGGCUAUUCAUAGCCCGCAGAAGAGAUUUGAAUCGUAGCGCUUAGAGGAAGGAGAAGUCGUAACA